Long non-coding RNA from Mirounga angustirostris (Northern elephant seal), 1472 nucleotides. RefSeq lists it as uncharacterized. The transcript has 5 exons. The record is from RefSeq and is a predicted model, not a curated record. NCBI's taxonomy places the organism in Eukaryota, Metazoa, Chordata, Mammalia, Carnivora, Phocidae.
GAAGGAUUUUAAACAACUGGCUGUUCUCUCCGCCGCCGCCCCUCCCCCCGCGCCGCCCGCGCUCGGCUCCUCACUGGAGAGAAGGCGCCGGGAGGAGGGGAAAGUGCGGCCUGGAGUCGCUGGUAGGAGCCGGCGGAGCUGGAGCUGUGGAGGCCCCAGACUUCGGGGCGCCCGCCGAGUACACAGACAGACCUACGGCCCCAGCCUUCGUGGGAGCCCCCACCAGCCCCCUUUCCGGCUCCUCUCCUGUCUGUGACCCCGCGCCAGUACCCUGAAUUGAUCUCUGCAGCUCUCAGCCCUACUCCCUGGGGUGUCGCCCCCGGCCCCCCGCCCUGCUCCCAGAGGAAUGGCUGGUGAGGGACAAACGCGCUGUUCCCUCGACCUUCUGUCUGAGCGACCCAGAGCGACUCGCCUUUCCUCCUGGGGAGGGACUGUGCCUCCGGCCCUCGGCGCCGCCGGGGUGGCGUCGCCUCGCCCCUAGGGCCGCGCCCUGCUUCCCAGGGGAACACCCUGCCUCGGGCCUGCCUCCCCUCUUUAGAGUGAUUUGGUGGUGGAGACAUGGCAUUCAUGGACUCAGAAGAAGCAGAAGGAGUGAUGCUGAGCAAGUGCUGCUGCUGGUCCAUGGAUCACACAUUGAGAGCUUGAAAGAAAAGAGAGCUUCCACUGUUCUCUUCUGAGGUCCUCAAUUCAUUCAAGUUGCUGGGCCUUGUGGUGAGGAUGACUGUAAGGUGAAGAUUAUGGGCUAAUUGUCACCUGCUACACGUGGAAGGAAGAGAUGUUUGGCAUGGCACUGAUCAAUGUGUAUAUUAACUGGGAAAUUUACCUCCAGGAGAAAAGAGAAAACCAGCUGUAUGAAUGGAAUUUGGAGAAAGGGCACAACCAUCAGACGAAGUGGGAGGAAGAAACAUUAACUUCAACAGCUGUUUCUUGACCCCGGCUGUCAGUCUUCCCAAGAAUAAAUUUUGGAGAGUCCUAUUUGAAACAAAGAGGGAGUUUUUGAGGAGAGAAAAGUUGGUUGGUUCCAGGGAGGCCGCCCAAAGAAGCAGGGAACAAGAUGUUUGCAGCUACCACGCAGCCUGCAAGCCUCUGCCGGGUGCAGGGAUGGAGCAAAGUAACUUGAAAGCUCCCCUCUCGGCGCCCUGUGCCUGCAGCUUCCCCCCCUAACGUGCGCCCAGAUCCAGCGCCGGUGGUAAGAGCCGUAGCUCGACUACAGUAAUUCCCCAGCUCGGGCGGCUUGAAACUGCUCGGGCUGAAUAGCAUUUGCUGUUCCGUCCUGCGACCGCCUCCCGCCGCCGCUGCCGCGCUCCCUGCAAAGCAGCUCUCAUUAUCCCGGAAGUUGUGCUGACACAGUCUCGCUGCCACCAGAAGUUUGUCAACAUCAAACUUCUCCUGUGUGGGGUACGUUCACCUUCUACGAGUAUUUAAUCGAGCCAACAAGCAAACAAACAAACCCAAAUAAACCUGCCCGUGAU